Molecule: long non-coding RNA, 2930 nt
Filed under: Homo sapiens (human)
Lineage: Eukaryota; Metazoa; Chordata; Mammalia; Primates; Hominidae
Description: HSALNT0272777
Source: RNAcentral
CUUCCGCAUUGCGCCGCGGCCGGGGGCGGAAGAUCCGCCCCGCGCGAGGGAAGGGGCGGGGCAUCAGGAGGGAGACCACGCCCACUCUGCGCCGACCGGCUGGGCCUGGCACCCGCGGGCGGCCCCAGCCUCAGUCUCCAGCUACCUUUGCCUCCUGCGGCCGCCCCCAGGCAGAGCUGCGAUCCCACCGCCGGGGGUGCAGGGAGAGGGAAGAUCUGGCCUCCUUGGUCCUUUUGCGUGGGCUCUUCAGAGCGUGAGCGCCGGGGAGGGACUCCGGAGAAAAGCUUGGGGGGCUGCGUAUUGCUGCUCCCCAAGCUGGGCGUCAGGACCAACCCCGCCGCCCCCACGGGCCUGACGGGAGAGGAGGAAGGGCUCGGGACGGUCGGCUCGCCGAGCCAACCAGGUGGCGCCUGAAGAGCUGUCCAUGGUGUCGACAGCCCAGCAAACGGCACCGAGUUCCUAGUCUGAGUGUCUGGAUAGGUAGCAGAAGAAAAACUAAUGCCUGCUCUGGGACAGUUCUGUUCGGUGCCUUUUCUUGUGUGUUCUGGAGCUCACAGGGUUCUAUCGAAGAGUGCUUAGGUGUAUACGAUGGAGAGUGGGACGUCACAAACCAGGAUCUCAAGGCUGAGUCCAACAAAACAUGGCCGUAGGGAGGCCACGACAGCUGUGGUUGUCACCGACGGAUGAAUAGCUUUUGCCAACCGUGGAAUUUAGUAACUAAAGGCACCUAACCCUUUUAUCUCAUCCUCAUUUUUCAACAAAUGGUGCUUCCUGGCUAAUAUCAGCGUGUCCCAUAGAUUUCUGCUUCCAUUGAAUAGACCUAAUAAGAAAGAGAAUGAAGUCAAAGCCAACAGGGCAGAAAGAAAUUGAAAACCUGAAGAACCCAGCACUCAAACUGUCUCCACUUGCGUUUGCUUUUUCUUUACCUCUUCUCCUUCUGGUUUUCAACAGCCAAAGCAGGAUUUAAAUUUGGUUAUGUUGCAAAAAUCAUUUCCCUCUUCAGGCCCUGUCAUGUGACUUGAUUUUUUCGUCCAUUUUAGAGAAGCUGUACCCACCCUGGUUUCAGGACACGGAACUAAAUUUAUUAGAAAAGAAGCCACUUCAAGUCAUGAAGGAGAAACACAAAGAUUCUUGGAUUUAGUUCUAAGAACUAGAGGGGAUUUCUAUGUCAGUACUGUCUCAGAAAAAACUGUUGAUAUCAAAUGUGUUGCUUGAGAAGUACCUUUUUUUUUUUGAGACGGAGUCUCGCUCUGUCCGCCCAGGCUAGAGUGCAGUGGCGCGAUCUCGGCUCACUGCAAGCUCCGCCUCCCGGGUUCACGCCGUUCUCCUGCCUCAGCCUCCCGAGUAGCUGGGAUUACAGGUGCCCACCACCACGCCCGGCUAAUUUUUGUAUUUUUAGUAGAGACAGGGUUUCACCGUGUUAGCCAGGAUGGUCUCGAUCUCCUGACCUCGUGAUCCACCCGCCUCGGCCUCCCAAAGUGCUGGGAUAACAGGCGUGAGCCAUCGCGCCCGGCCGAGAGGUACCUUUUAUGACAACUGAAAUCAUUCAGUUUCAAGAGGAGUUGGGUACUGAAACCAAACUUGCUUACUCCAAAGCCCAAAAUCCUUUCCACCAUGCCUGUGUGUCUGUAAGGCUACACUAGAAAUGCUUCCUUUCUUAUAGUGGGAAGCAUGGGUACUAAGCUCUUUUACGAACAAGUGUUCUGCAUAUUCCUGGUUCCUUUUUAUUUUGGACUGAGGAGAUUUAGGUCAAAAUUUCUGGGUUCUGGGUUGGAAUUCCAGCUUCUUUCUUCAAAUUAAACUGGGGGGUAGCAAGACUUAUUCCUAGAUUUGUUAGAAGGCCACAGCUUUUCCACAUCUCAUUUUAGUCAUGAAAAAGACACAUGCCCAGAGUUUGAAAAACAUAAAGGCAAUUUGACUAGUGGCUUGAUUGGUUCUAUCUUCUUUUUCUUGUCCCUCUUUCCUAUUUAUACUUCUACUUUUGUUACAGCAUUUGACAAUAGUUGGAAAAAUUUUCACUGACCUUGAAAUGUCUUUGGGAUAGGGUGACUUAAAAUAUAGGUUAAGUGGCAUACACAAACUUCUUAGUGAGAUCCUAAGGGCCUACAGAGACAGGCUGACACCAACUCAACCCUUGAAACUGUGCAAUGAAGAGCCUGUGGGAGGCUAAAAAACGCUACUUCAAAAAGAGAUCCUUGUCUGUGAAUGUUAAUUUAGGUUUACAGAUUUGAUUAAGGGUCUUGAGAUUAUUUUCAAUUAUCCAGGUGGGCCCUAGAGCCCUAGAUGCAAUCAUAAGUGUCCUUAUAACAGGGAGGCAGAGGAAAAUUAAACACGCACACAGGAGAGAGAGAGAGAGAAAAAAAAGUGAUGUGAAGACAGCAGCAGAGAUUGGAGCGAUGUGGCCAUAGCCAAGCUAUGUCAGCAGCCAUCAGAAGUUGGAAGAGGCAAGGAAGGAUUUGAGCCUAGAGCCUUUGGAAGGAGCAUGGCCCUGUUGGUUCUGGCCUCCAGAACUGCAAGAAAAUACAUUUUUGUUGUUUUAAACCACCCAGUUCAUGGUAAUUUGUAACACCAGCUACAAGAAAUUAACACAAGGCUGAUGUGACUUUCCAUCAGGAGAGAGACAGCCCCAGCCACCCUGUGAAGACGUGCCUUUCGUCAAGAUUGUAAGUUUCCUGAGGCCUUCCCACCCAUGCGGAACUGUGAGUCAAUUAAACCUCUUUAUAAAUUACCUAGUCUCAAGUAUGUCCCUAUAACAGCGUGAGAAUGAACUAAUACAAAUAUGUAGGGAUAAGAUAAAAUUAACAGAGCAAAUACAGUGCAUGACACUGUUCUGCAUAUUAUGUCCUGAUCAAGGGUACACAUGGGCCUGCUCACAGUCCCACUUUAUUAGAGUCAUUUGAAAUGCUGCAAAUUUAGUCGUCAGGAAAAUA